Long non-coding RNA from Equus caballus (horse), 2816 nucleotides. The record is from Ensembl. NCBI's taxonomy places the organism in Eukaryota, Metazoa, Chordata, Mammalia, Perissodactyla, Equidae.
UUCGAAGACAGUACAAAAUAAACAAAGUAAAAUAUCUCAGUAAUAUUUUAAAAAAUUGAUUACAUGCUGAACUGAUAAUAUUUUGGAUAAAUUGAGUUAAAUAAAAAUAAAUUAUUAAAUUAAUUUGAUCUACUUCUUUAAAAAUUUUUUAAUGUGGCUACUAGAAAAUUUAAAAUUUUAUAUGUGGCACACACUGUAUUUCUCUUGGACGGCACUGCCAGACCGUGUUGUAACUGUCCCCUUGUGCUUCUUACCACAGUUGUCUGCCCACAGUAAGCACUCUGCAUGUUCUGACUCAUCCAUGAUUUAUGCAAGCAUGGUUAGAAGCCAAAAAAGAGGAAAAAUGAUAACAUAAAUUGCCAAGUGAGUCCUUUUGGCAUGAGUCAAAUACAGCUUAAAAAACUCAGAAGACAGACUAUAAAUUUUUAUUUAUACAAUUUCACAGGCAAUUUCCAAGGCUCAGGCCCCAUCACGCCUCCUUCCCUGUCCCCUAAUCUUCCCCUCCUUUCACUAACUAACAUGCUAGGAGCAUUUAGUUUAGGCCAGGGACUGUUCAAGGCCUUAAAAAUUACAGUGAUGAAUAAGACCCAGUUACCAGAGAGUCCGCCCCUUAGUAGAGAAAAUUGACCUAUGUUAGUUUGCUAAGGCUGCAGUAACAGGGUACCACAGUGUUGCUUAAACAACAGAAUUUUUUUCUCACUGUUCUAGAGGCUAGAAAUCUGAGAUCAGGGUGUAGGCAGUGUUGGUUUCUUCUGAGACCUUUUUCCUUGGCUUGUAGAUGGUUGUCUUCUCCUUGUGUCUUCACAUUGUCCUCCCUCUGUGUGUGUCUGUGUCCAAAUUUCUUUUUCUUCUUAAGGAAGCCAGUCAUAUUGGAAUAGGGACAAUCCUAAUGACCUCAUUUUAACUGAAUCAUCUCUGUGAAGACUGUCUCUGAAGACGGUCACAGUCUGAGGUGUUGGAAUUAGGAGCUCAACAUAUGAGUUUUUGAGGGAUACUCUUCAGUCCAUAAUGUAGUCUAUGGAGCAAGUGCUAUGGCCACAUGGAAGAUGGAGUAUCUGAUGCUUUGUGGCUGCAUGUUGAGGGUGAUCAGGGAAGACCUUACAUACAUGAGGUGGGGAUUGGUGGGCUCUUGGAGAUGAGCUUUUCCUUUCCUUUAGUUCAAUAAGCAGCCAGCUGUUCUCAGUACAGGUAGAACUAAAUGCAGAUAUUGAGGGACCUGCUACAUUUGAAGGUGUUCUGAGGUAAAGGUGUAGCAAGACCCUCGUGUUUUUGAGUGGCUUAGCAGAAGCUGCCUUACCCCUUGGUAUGCAGAGUUGAUAGUCAAGGAGGUGAUGAUCAACUUGUGAAGGGAGCCCAGAGUAGACAGGAAACUGGUGGUAGAGGCAGGAAUGGAUAACAGCCCCGUAAAAUCAAAUUACUUUCAAGAAAUUUGUUUACACUGGUGAUGAGGUUUCAACCUAAAGGGCCAAGUGUUUUUUGUUGGAGUCCUGGUUUAGCCCAGGGUGUCUUUGAAGUUGGAAGACUUUCUGGACCCACCACCUUUUGAGGAUUUGAACUUUGGGAGCCAUGGAUGGUUGUAGGGAUGUGGACCUAAAGAAGGUGCCCUGGAGGCCAAGUGCAGGGCCUAUGAAGGGGCUUGGACCAGCUGAAGCAUUGCAGCAGAGUGGACAAGUGUCCCUGGGGCUGUGUACAGGGGACAAAUGACUGAGAUGUGUACAGAGAGGAUAAGUGCCCAAGGUUUCCAAGACAAGACAAUGCGGCAAGGAGAGGCAACAGUAGAGGUGGAGAUAGGACUCCAAUGAUCUCUACAGGUCUUUGGCAGUGGACUGUUCCUUCUGGGAGGAAGUAAGCCCCUUGAUUUGUUAGAAGAGGUUUAAGGGGUGUGGGAAAGUCCCAAGAGAAAGAUGAGUGCUUAAAUAAUUAACUGGAAAAAGAAAAAAGAUGUGACUGUCCUUGUACCUUGAGUUGAUGGAGGCCAUUCCAUGGGUUACAGAGUGGGAACAUAUGACUUGGAGUUGGAAGAACGAGUUGGAGAUUUGUAGGAAGGCGAAGUUAAAGGGUGACAUUCGUGGCAGACAAAAGAGCAACUGCAAAGACCUAAAAGAAUCUGGUCUGUUAGAGAAGUGACUGUUGGUGCCGGCUGUAGGGUUUAUGUGGGAGAAAGAGAAAGGGAUAAAGCUGGAAAGGAUUUCCAGAUCCUGCUGGAGCUAAUAGAGUUGGUUCACAAGCAUAUUUGUCAGAAACAAGAACCUCUCAAAUCAAGAUCUUUCUCUGUACCCACAGGACAAAAGAGAAACUUUGAAGAUAUAAUCAGAGGACCUUGAAAGAACAGCUACCUGUAUUUAAUUAUUGGCAAGCAACAUACGAAGACAACUCACAAUUAGAAGUGAACAUGGAGAACUUGGAAGCAGAACUGGACAGAAAGUUGGAUGUUCUAGUGGCUGGUGAUAGCCAGAUGUGUCUAUUUCUACCAAAAGGAUGUACCUGCCACAAAGAUCUGAUUGCGAUAUCUCUCCUUGGACUGAAUCUCUUUGGUAUUCCCUUUUCUAGCUUCCACCAUUGUUCUCAUAUGUUAAAUGAAGCUUCAGCUUGGUAGCCAAUUUUGCUAAGUAGCAGCGAAACUUAGAAAUAAAUUAAAGAGAAUGUAGAAGAUCUUUAAUGAAGACUGGAAAGAAUGGCCUGAAACAAUGGAGGGAAAUACCGAGUUCCUGAGUCAAGGGUUGAGUGUAAAAUUAUCAUUUCUUUUCCUAUUCAACUAUCAAUCAAUAAAACUCCAAUUAAAAUCCCUAGAAAAUUUUAAUUAAAUCUUACAAACU